RNAcentral lists this ribosomal RNA (490 nucleotides) under Streptococcus equi subsp. zooepidemicus. Its description in RNAcentral is "bacterial SSU rRNA". It matches the Rfam family "Bacterial small subunit ribosomal RNA", at positions 57 to 524 of the family's 1533-position model. Lineage: Bacteria; Bacillati; Bacillota; Bacilli; Lactobacillales; Streptococcaceae. The record is from RNAcentral.
GCAAGUGGAACGCACAGAUGAUACGUAGCUUGCUACAAUUAUCUGUGAGUCGCGAACGGGUGAGUAACGCGUAGGUAACCUAGCUUAUAGCGGGGGAUAACUAUUGGAAACGAUAGCUAAUACCGCAUAAAAGUGGUUGACCCAUGUUAACCAUUUAAAAGGAGCAACAGCUCCACUAUGAGAUGGACCUGCGUUGUAUUAGCUAGUUGGUAGGGUAAAGGCCUACCAAGGCGACGAUACAUAGCCGACCUGAGAGGGUGAACGGCCACACUGGGACUGAGACACGGCCCAGACUCCUACGGGAGGCAGCAGUAGGGAAUCUUCGGCAAUGGGGGGAACCCUGACCGAGCAACGCCGCGUGAGUGAAGAAGGUUUUCGGAUCGUAAAGCUCUGUUGUUAGAGAAGAACAGUGAUGGGAGUGGAAAGUCCAUCAUGUGACGGUAACUAACCAGAAAGGGACGGCUAACUACGUGCCAGCAGCCGCGGUAAA